RNAcentral lists this ribosomal RNA (601 nucleotides) under uncultured beta proteobacterium. Its description in RNAcentral is "bacterial SSU rRNA". It matches the Rfam family "Bacterial small subunit ribosomal RNA", at positions 95 to 692 of the family's 1533-position model. Lineage: Bacteria; Pseudomonadati; Pseudomonadota; Betaproteobacteria. The record is from RNAcentral.
GUGGCGAACGGGUGAGUAAUACAUCGGAACGUGCCCGAGAGUGGGGGAUAACGAAGCGAAAGCUUUGCUAAUACCGCAUACGAUCUCAGGAUGAAAGCAGGGGACCGCAAGGCCUUGCGCUCACGGAGCGGCCGAUGGCAGAUUAGGUAGUUGGUGGGAUAAAAGCUUACCAAGCCGACGAUCUGUAGCUGGUCUGAGAGGACGACCAGCCACACUGGGACUGAGACACGGCCCAGACUCCUGCGGGAGGCAGCAGUGGGGAAUUUUGGACAAUGGGCGCAAGCCUGAUCCAGCCAUGCCGCGUGCAGGAUGAAGGCCUUCGGGUUGUAAACUGCUUUUGUACGGAACGAAAAGACUCUGGUUAAUACCUGGGGUCCAUGACGGUACCGUAAGAAUAAGCACCGGCUAACUACGUGCCAGCAGCCGCGGUAAUACGUAGGGUGCGAGCGUUAAUCGGAAUUACUGGGCGUAAAGCGUGCGCAGGCGGUUAUGUAAGACAGAUGUGAAAUCCCCGGGCUCAACCUGGGAACUGCAUUUGUGACUGCGUAGCUAGAGUACGGCAGAGGGGGAUGGAAUUCCGCGUGUAGCAGUGAAAUGCGUA